GCCCCAGUAACGGCGAGUGAAGCGGCAACAGCUCAAAUUUGAAAUCUGGGCCCCUCCGCGGGGUCCCGAGUUGUAAUUUGCAGAGGAUGCUUCUGGCGCGGCGCCUUCCGAGUUCCCUGGAACGGGACGCCACAGAGGGUGAGAGCCCCGUCCGGUCGGACGCCCAGCCUGUGUGAAGCACCUUCGACGAGUCGGGUAGUUUGGGAAUGCUGCCCUAAAUGGGAGGUAUAUGUCUUCUAAAGCUAAAUACCGGCCAGAGACCGAUAGCGCACAAGUAGAGUGAUCGAAAGAUGAAAAGCACUUUGAAAAGAGGGUUAAACAGUACGUGAAAUUGUUGAAAGGGAAGCGCUCGUGACCAGACUUGGGCCCGGGGGAUCACCCGGCGUUCUCUCGCCGGGGCACUUCGCCGGCUGCCCAGGCCAGCAUCAGUUCGCGGCGGGGGACAAAGGCCUCGGGAACGUGGCUCCCUACGGGGAGUGUUACAGCCCGCUGCGCAAUGCCCUGCCGCGGACUGAGGUUCGCGCUUCCGCAAGGAUGCUGGCGUAAUGGUCAUCAGCGACCCGUCUUGAAACACGGACCAAGGAGUCGUCUUCGUAUGCGAGUGUUCGGGUGUCAAACCCCUACGCGGAAUGAAAGUGAACGCAGGUGAGAGCUCCGGCGCAUCACCGACCGAUCCUGAUGUUCUCGGAUGGAUUUGAGUAGGAGCAUACGGGGCCGGACCCGAAAGAAGGUGAACUAUGCCUGUAUAGGGUGAAGCCAGAGGAAACUCUGGUGGAGGCUCGCAGCGGUUCUGACGUGCAAAUCGAUCGUCAAAUAUGGGCAUGGGGGCGAAAGACUAAUCGAACCUUCUAGUAGCUGGUUUC
This 863-nucleotide ribosomal RNA is filed under the name Cordyceps sp. EFCC 12075. Its description in RNAcentral is "eukaryotic LSU rRNA". It matches the Rfam family "Eukaryotic large subunit ribosomal RNA", at positions 77 to 958 of the family's 3401-position model. Lineage: Eukaryota; Fungi; Ascomycota; Sordariomycetes; Hypocreales; Cordycipitaceae. The record is from RNAcentral.